AGAAACACGCAGACGGGAACAAAAAUCGUCCUUCGCCUUUUUUCAGAGAAUUGCCGGUCGGUGCAAGGCAUAAAAAGAAAGAGCGUAAUAUCCUCCCCGAGUGGCCGCGUUGAAUUUGCAGUAAACGCGGACGGCAGCAUCCGUUAGAAUUGCAGCGAAUGAUCGUUCGCGUAAGUGCAUCAUGAUGAUGAAUUAGAGUGGUACCACGGUAUUUAUAUCGCCUCUUUG
Molecule: non-coding RNA, 228 nt
Filed under: Clostridium sp.
Lineage: Bacteria; Bacillati; Bacillota; Clostridia; Eubacteriales; Clostridiaceae
Description: T-box sequence
Rfam family: T-box leader
About the family: Uncharged tRNA acts as the effector for transcription antitermination of genes in the T-box leader family.
Source: RNAcentral